UGCAAUCUAUGAUGAAAAAAAAUUUAUGUCUCUGAUUUAACAGUGAUUAUCACAUAAAUUUAUCACCAUCUUUCGGCUGAGAUUGCA
This is a small nucleolar RNA of Camellia sinensis, 87 nucleotides long. The record is from RefSeq and is a predicted model, not a curated record. NCBI's taxonomy places the organism in Eukaryota, Viridiplantae, Streptophyta, Magnoliopsida, Ericales, Theaceae.